RNAcentral lists this unclassified non-coding RNA (212 nucleotides) under plant metagenome. Its description in RNAcentral is "partial contains small subunit ribosomal RNA, internal transcribed spacer 1, and 5.8S ribosomal RNA". The record is from RNAcentral.
GUUUCCGUAGGUGAACCUGCGGAAGGAUCAUUCAUAAUAAAGUGUUUUAUGGCACUUUUUAAAAAUCCAUAUCCACCUUGUGUGCAAUGUUAGAUCUCGUCAAUCUUGGCGAGGUUUUUAUACAUCAACUCAUUCUUUAACUAAUUUGUCUGAAAAAUAUUAUGAAUACUUAAUUCAAAAUACAACUUUCAACAACGGAUCUCUUGGCUCUC